This 253-nucleotide unclassified non-coding RNA is filed under the name uncultured Planctomycetota bacterium. Its description in RNAcentral is "uncultured planctomycete contains 16S-23S intergenic spacer region". It matches the Rfam family "Bacterial small subunit ribosomal RNA", at positions 524 to 776 of the family's 1533-position model. Lineage: Bacteria; Pseudomonadati; Planctomycetota. The record is from RNAcentral.
UACGUAUGGUGCAAGCGUUGUUCGGAAUCACUGGGCAUAAAGAGCACGUAGGCGGCUCAGCAAGUCAGGUGUGAAAGCCCUCGGCUCAACCGAGGAAUUGCACCUGAAACUGCUUUGCUCGAGUGCGGGAGGGGAGAACGGAAUUCCUGGUGGAGCGGUGAAAUGCGUAGAUAUCAGGAGGAACGCCGGAGGCGAAAGCGGUUCUCUGGCCCGCAACUGACGCUGAGGUGCGAAAGCUAGGGGAGCAAACAGG